AGUGAACGCUGGCGGUAGGCCUAACACAUGCAAGUCGAACGGCAGCACAGUAAGAGCUUGCUCUUACGGGUGGCGAGUGGCGGACGGGUGAGGAAUACAUCGGAAUCUACUUUUUCGUGGGGGAUAACGUAGGGAAACUUACGCUAAUACCGCAUACGACCUAAGGGUGAAAGCAGGGGAUCUUCGGACCUUGCGCGAUUGAAUGAGCCGAUGUCGGAUUAGCUAGUUGGCGGGGUAAAGGCCCACCAAGGCGACGAUCCGUAGCUGGUCUGAGAGGAUGAUCAGCCACACUGGAACUGAGACACGGUCCAGACUCCUACGGGAGGCAGCAGUGGGGAAUAUUGGACAAUGGGCGCAAGCCUGAUCCAGCCAUACCGCGUGAGUGAAGAAGGCCUUCUGGCUGUAAAGCCCUUUUGUUGGGAAAGAAAAGCAGCAUGUUAAUACCCCGCUGUUCUGACGGUACCCAAAGAAUAAGCACCGGCUAACUUCGUG
RNAcentral lists this ribosomal RNA (492 nucleotides) under uncultured bacterium. Its description in RNAcentral is "partial 16S ribosomal RNA". It matches the Rfam family "Bacterial small subunit ribosomal RNA", at positions 29 to 507 of the family's 1533-position model. The record is from RNAcentral.